This is a non-coding RNA of Phrynosoma platyrhinos (Desert horned lizard), 74 nucleotides long. The record is from the annotation of a GenBank genome assembly. NCBI's taxonomy places the organism in Eukaryota, Metazoa, Chordata, Lepidosauria, Squamata, Phrynosomatidae.
UUGGAUGUUGUGUAGUGCUUUGAAUGUUAGACUAUGGCUCAGGAGACCAGGGUUCAAUUCCCUGCUCGUGCAAG